This 1524-nucleotide ribosomal RNA is filed under the name metagenome. RNAcentral's name for it is "bacterial LSU rRNA". It matches the Rfam family "Bacterial large subunit ribosomal RNA", at positions 1404 to 2925 of the family's 2925-position model. The record is from RNAcentral.
AAAAGGCGUAGCUGAUGGGAAACGGGUUAAUAAUCCUGUACUUGUGCGAUUGUGCGAAGAAGGGACGCAGGAUGGUAGACAGGCCGGUUUUUGGAAUCCGGUGCAAGUGCGUAGGCGUGCUCCGCAGGCAAAUCCGCGGAGAUGAGCCGAGACACGAGUCCGUGGGCGUAAGCCCUGAAGCUGUUGAGCCACGGCUGCCAAGAAAAGCUUCUAAGUUUAGAUCGCGCGAACCGUACCGCAAACCAACUCAGGUGGAUGGGAUGAAUAAUCCAAGGCGCUCGAGAGAACUCUGGCCAAGGAACUCGGCAAAUUGACCCCGUACCUUCGGAAUAAGGGGUGCUCCCCACGGUGAGACAAAUACUUGUUCAGCCCCGGGGAGCCGCAGAGAAAUGGUGGUGGCGACUGUUUACUAAAAACAUAGGUCUGUGCGAAGUCCUACAGACGACGUAUACGGACUGACGCCUGCCCGGUGCCGGAAGGUUAAAAGGAGGAGUCAGCGCAAGCGAAGCUCCGAUUUGAAGCCCCGGUAAACGGCGGCCGUAACUAUAACGGUCCUAAGGUAGCGAAAUUCCUUGUCAGGCAAGUUCCGACCUGCACGAAUGGCGUAACGAUCUCCACGCUGUCUCGGCCAGAGACUCGGUGAAAUUGAAGUCGCGGUGAAAAUGCCGUGUACCCGCAGAAAGACGGAAAGACCCUGUGCACCUUUACUAUAGCUUGACAUUGGGUUUUGAACCUGCAUGUGUAGGAUAGGUGGGAGGCUGUGAAAGCUGUACGCCAGUAUGGCCGGAGCCACCCGUGAAAUACCACCCUUGUUUGUUCAGGACCCUAACUCGCAGCUGUAAUCCAGCGCGAAGACAGUGUCUGGUGGGUAGUUUGACUGGGGCGGUCGCCUCCUAAAGAGUAACGGAGGCAUGCAAAGGUUCCCUCAGGCUGAUUGGAAACCAGCCGUUGAGUGCAAGCGCAUAAGGGAGCCUGACUGCAAGAGAGACAUCUCGAACAGAUACGAAAGUAGGUGCUAGUGAUCCGGUGGUCCCGAAUGGAAGGGCCAUCGCUCAUUGGAUAAAAGGUACGCCGGGGAUAACAGGCUGAUCGCAUCCAAGAGUUCACAUCGACGAUGCGGUUUGGCACCUCGAUGUCGGCUCAUCACAUCCUGGGGCUGAAGCAGGUCCCAAGGGUACGGCUGUUCGCCGUUUAAAGUGGUACGCGAGCUGGGUUUAAAACGUCGUGAGACAGUUUGGUCCCUAUCUUCUGUGGGCGUAGGAGAAUUGAGAGGGUUUGUCCCUAGUACGAGAGGACCGGGAUGAACGCACCACUGGUGGAUCAGUUGUCGCGCCAGCGGCAUAGCUGAGUAGCUAUGUGCGGAAUGGAUAACCGCUGAAAGCAUCUAAGCGGGAAGCCAGCCUCGAGAUAAGUUCUCCCUGUCGCAAGACACUAAAGGGCCGAUGAAGACUACAUCGUUGAUAGGCCGGAGAUGGAAGCGCUGCGAAGCGUGGAGCUGACCGGUACUAAUAGCCCGUGCGCCUU